Microcebus murinus (gray mouse lemur) is the source of this 3136-nucleotide non-coding RNA. NCBI's taxonomy places the organism in Eukaryota, Metazoa, Chordata, Mammalia, Primates, Cheirogaleidae. The record is from RefSeq and is a predicted model, not a curated record.
CUUUGGGACGCCAAGGUCAGCUCUAACAUUAUUACUUUAGCUUUUUGAGUCCAGGUUCCUCAUCUACAAAAGAGGGCCGAGAGCACUACCUAUCUUGCAGGGUCAUCGAGACAUGUGCAAAGUGCCUGACUGUGCCUGGAGCUAAGUAGGUGCUCAAUAAAUACCAGCCCCCUCUCCCACCCUCCCCCACUGGUUGGGAAAGCGGCAGAGCCAUCCGAGCAGGAGGAAGGGGUGAGCGCACUGCCCCAGGACGCCCCCCUGCAGGGUCACUGCCUGAGACCCGCAUGAGCACAGCCCAGGUGGCGCUGGUUGGGAAGGGGGGCGCAGGGGUGAAGUUUAAGGAGAUGCAUGACCUCGACUGUCCUCCGCAGCCUGAUUUAUGGGGCGGAGCCGUCUCCCGGAUGAGAUGGAGACGCUGCGAGCGAAAGAGCUGUAGAAAACCUUAAUCCCCAAAUGGCAGAAAGAGAUACUCUCGGGUCCCGUGUGUGUUUGAUCAAAUCCAUCAGGUGGGGCACGAUCUUCCCCUCGCGGAAUCCAAUCGGUUGUCAGGCUUCAGCGGGUCUUUCUCAACCGAGGAUGAAAUAUGUUCCCCACUUAGCCGACAAAAUCCUUGGCUGAUUUUGCUCAGCAAGAAAGAAUCUGGCCUCGGAGCGCUAGAGUCCUGCCAGUGAACCGAGGCUGGCAUUUAGGGGGUAGGAGGCCAGGGGAAAGAAUCAGGCGGAGAAGAGCCCCCCAAGAGAAAAAAUAUACCCAAAGCCUUGGGCUGCUCAAGGCUUUGGGUAGAGCCUCGAUGGAAGAAUUUCCUAAGCGCCAGGUUUCGGGGAGGCCAGGGCGGAAGAGCGGGAGGAGAAGUCGCUGUCUGUCUGUCUGCUCCCGUGAGGAUGCUGGUUGGCUGGUCUGAUGGGGACCUGGGAGCAAGAGGAAGCUGCCCUUUUGGCAGAGCGGACUCUGCUCUGUGGCCUUACUGGGCCCGUGCUCCUGGCUGCGCAGGAGCCAGAAAUGCUCAACAUCCAGGGAGGAUAAUGGGAAUCCCAUAAGCGAGAGGUGGCGGGGAUUCAGGGCUCUGACGGAACAGUGGCCUGGGGGGAGAAAUUCCGACUUCCUGAUCCUCAGACCUGCCUCUCUGCUCACCAAGCCUCUCCGACCCGCUUCUCUGAAACAAUUCCUCCCCUCCAUCCUUAGUGGACACUUUCUCAAGAGAGGACAGAGUUGGCAAUUUAGAGCCUCCAUGCAGAAAAAAAAAAAAGAGUGACACCUUCUCAACGUCUAGACGCAGGGUCCCUUUGCUGUGCUGACACCCUGAGCUCCAGUGUGCGUAGUAGGUCUGCCUGUGGUUGGCCUAGAACCUUCCAAACGUGGCACGUGCUACUCUGGGAUGUCCCAUCGCAUUUGCUGCUUGGUAAACACGAAUUCGCCCCAAGAGCCAGGUAAAGUGUCACCUCCACGGAGAAGCCAGGUACAGCUUCCUGUUUCCUCCCACGGCGAUUUGUGCCUCCUUUACUUUAGCUGUAGAAAUGGCAUUCUUAGUUGUCGCCCUUCCCGCCAAAACAGGGGUGCUGAAUCGUGUACCCCCCCCAAAUUCACAUGUUGAAGCCCUGAACUACUGGUGCUUCAAAAUGUGACUGUAUUGGAGAUGGGCCUCUGAGGAGGUAAUUAAGCGAAAACGAGGUUAUGGGAACGAGCCCUAAUUCAAUGUGACUCAUGUCCUCCAGCAGCAAAGACAUCUGGACGCAGGCAGGUGCAGAGGGAAGAUGAUAUGGAGACCCCGGGGGAAAAUCGCCACCUACAAGCCAAGCAGAGAGCCCUCAGGAGGAACCAAGCCUGCCGACACCUUGAUCUCGAACUUGCAGGCCAGAACUGUAGAAAAUGCAUUUCUGUUGUUCAAGCCCCCGCAGUCACAGCAGCCCAAGCCGGCUAAUGCAGGUUUGACCUCAUCAUCCACAUUUUACAAGAGAGGAAAAUGAAGCCCAGGGUUCCAGUGACUUGCUCAAGAUCACACAGCCACAAAUCUCAGAGCAAACCUUGAAAACCCAAAGUGGCUUCUUCCAGCACCCCUGCAUUUCCAAUGCAUCCUGCCAACUCCCAGUACCUGCAGGCAAACACACAUGUGGAUGCAUCUGAUGCACGCAAUGCAAUGUUUCCUCGGUGACAACGGAUGCUUUGGGACUAAAACAUGGCAGGAGGCAUUCACAAGUAAAACAAGCACAGAAGCCCACAUGCUGCAUGACUUAUUUGUUGUCCAGUGAUGCUAGCAUGGUCCUUAAGAGGCACUUUGAGUACUGGAGGCCGCUGAGAUACGGAGUAUUUCAAACCAACGCCAUGACCCCGAUCUGUACGCCAAUCCUGCGACAGCGCUAGCAGCACAGAGAUGCCAAAUGUCGCUUCUCUGAUUUGCCACCUUGCGAGAACCCAGAGCCAGCCAGAUGUGGGGGGCUCAUCUCUUGGGUUAUUGUUGCUGUAAGUAGAGUCUUAGGGCAAGCAGAAAUCGCUGAGCCAGCAACCCCUGGAUGGGGUGGACCUUGGAAGGACCAGAAUUCUUUCCCUUUCUCUUGAAAGAUGCUGGUGUAACGAAAAGCGACUGGGCAGCGUAUCUAUCAGAAGACCUGGCUCACAGGCACCAGACUGAGCCUUAACUUUAAGGCUCAGUGACCUUGGGGUAGUGACCAGACCUCUCUUCUCCUCACCCUUCUCAUCUGCGAAAUGGGAACAAACACCAUCACCUUUCGGGUGCUGGUUUUCAGUUGGCAAAGUGACAACCCCUUAUUGGUUUGGAGGGGCACAGACCUUCCACUGACUUUUGGAUGGAGAUGCGAUUAAACCCAACGUUGUUAAAAGUCUGCUAAAGGCCCUGCAAGUAAGCAUUGGCAGAAAUGAGCAGAAGAGUCCAGGUUUUCAAACUCCCACUCCAAUAUCCUUUCCAAUGCUUGAAGAAUAACCAUGCCUGUAGUUGCCUUGCCCGCCAAGCCUGUGUUGAGUUUCAAACGUACAUGCCAGCAGCUGAACAGGACAAAGCUAUGCCACGUCCAAGGUUUUUGCACCAGACAGAGUUGUACAGAGGCAGAAGAGAGACUAAGAACGGACUUUGGAACCUCACUGCCUUGGUUCAAAUUUAGGCUCCAUGAAUGACUAGCUGUGU